Pelobates cultripes (western spadefoot toad) is the source of this 363-nucleotide non-coding RNA. Lineage: Eukaryota; Metazoa; Chordata; Amphibia; Anura; Pelobatidae. The record is from the annotation of a GenBank genome assembly.
GGAUUACUGUAUUCUAUGUGCGAGUGUCCUGGACCUGUGAGCCAAUGUAACUACAGUAUGUACUUUGUCCCUGUGCCCUCUCAGGUCCAGUGGGGAAUAUGUUAUUGUAAACCCCGUUCCUGGGAACUUGCAUAAAAAGCCGGCCAGUUGGCCUGAAUAAAAUCAUUCCUGUUGUACCCUUCAUCUAGUUCAGGCUGAUGUUUGGGUAUAUGACUGACUGCUGGGGAAGACUUCUUGUAUGCUGCAUUCUAGCUGGAGAAUAUUUGUCUUGAUACCCGAACUGCAAGCUAUAAUCACUCAGCUCCUAGCAUUACGGGAGGAACCGAAUAUGAAUGAUGGUGAUCUGAUAUACCAGCAUUCAUA